This 1245-nucleotide long non-coding RNA is filed under the name Homo sapiens (human). Its description in RNAcentral is "HSALNT0009048". Lineage: Eukaryota; Metazoa; Chordata; Mammalia; Primates; Hominidae. The record is from RNAcentral.
GACAAUUGCAAAUGUAUGAAACAUACCAAUAUGCAUAUCAGUUACACUACAGUUAACAAAGCUGAAUUUUUAUUUUCAUACUAUAAUUAGGAAAACAGAUCAAACACAAAUAUGAAUAUAUAAUUAUCCAUGUAGAAAGCAAUAUUGUAAUACCACUAAUUGAGAUAUGUAUAAUAAUUUACAUGAAAUAAACAUCAAAUGUAAAUCUGCUCAAAUACUCUUCUUAUGUAGUUUUUCAUUUGUUUAAGGCUUUUUUUUUUUCAAUGUUUGCUUGCUUUUGCAAGACUUGGCAAAACUUUUCUUACUUGUUUUUUCAUUCCUUAGAGAAGCAUACUCAGUUAAUUGUGUCAGACGUAUCCUAUGACUCCAUCUUUGAUUUUUGUCAUAUAUUCAACUCUGGUUUUAUUUUAUUGAUAACAAAGAGUUACUGAGGACGUUGUUGUCCUCCAAAAUGAUCCACUUCUAAUGCAUGCAAAGGCUAGUGGGUGUUUGUCCUCUUGAAGAAAGCUAAAGUAGAAAAGGAUUAUUAUUUGAGUUAUUUUGUUCACUUUAUUCUGUUUCUAAAGGUGAUGUAGUAGCAUAUUCAGCAGAUGGUGGAUACAGUACAGGUUUUGGAGCAGAGUUUUCAGCUUCAUUUAUUCUGCUAGGAACUAAAAACACCUCAUUUUCUGCCUCAAAACUGUCUUUUAACCCUGGUAAGAAGGAAAGCGCUUCAUGUGUCUCCACUGUCAUUGCGCCUUCUUUAUGUGCACUAUCUUUAUCUGGUUGAAUAUUUUGAACUUCUCUAAAAUUAUGUACAUUACUGUUAACUUCAGGAUCUACUUCACUGCAAAGUAUUCUAUUUUGGGUUUCAUGGGAACUUGUGAUACUUAAAUCUUUAGCUGUAAUGGUCUCCUCGGCAGAGCUUGCAUCAUGUAAUAUAUAUUUUUCACUUGUUCCAUUUUCCCAAGUUUGCUGCCUUUCUUUUGUGAUGCCUUUUAAGGUCAUUUGUGAGAUCUGAGUUAACAUACUAGAAUCUGUCUUGCUUUCAUCAAGCAUAUUUUUCUCUUCUUUCCCUACUAUUUUUAUCUCUAGUGCUUCAGUGCCGUCAUUUCUGGGCAAUGCAUUUGUGCUGUCAAUUCCUUUUUCGCUACUAUUGGUUAGGUGCCAAACGGCUUGACUACUAACAGGAGAAGUACUGAUAUCCUUGGGAAGUUCUAUUCUAUUUUGGUCAUGAGGCAUUUUGGUAAUUUCUACUGUUCAAUG